ACGACGUCAAGUCAUCAUGGCCCUUACGACCAGGGCUACACACGUGCUACAAUGGUAGGUACAGAGGGCAGCUACACAGCGAUGUGAUGCGAAUCUCAAAAAGCCUAUCGUAGUCCAGAUUGGAGUCUGCAACUCGACUCCAUGAAGUAGGAAUCGCUAGUAAUCGCGGAUCAGAAUGCCGCGCUGAAUCCGCUCCCGGGCCUUGUACACACCGCCCGUCACACCAUGGGAGUUGAUUGCACCAGAAGUGGAUAGCUUAACCUUCGGGGAGGCGUUCACCACGGUGUGGUUGAUGACUGGGGUGAAGUCGUAACAAGGUA
This 320-nucleotide ribosomal RNA is filed under the name uncultured bacterium. Its description in RNAcentral is "bacterial SSU rRNA". It matches the Rfam family "Bacterial small subunit ribosomal RNA", at positions 1179 to 1498 of the family's 1533-position model. The record is from RNAcentral.